GAUCCUGGCUCAGGACGAACGCUGGCGGCGUGCUUAACACAUGCAAGUCGAACGAAAAUCUGCUGAAGGAGGAUUCGUCCAACGGAAGCAGAGGAAAGUGGCGGACGGGUGAGUAACGCGUGAGGAACCUGCCUUGAAGAGGGGGACAACAGUUGGAAACGACUGCUAAUACCGCAUGACGCAUAGAGGUCGCAUGAUCUUUAUGCCAAAGAUUUAUCGCUUCAAGAUGGCCUCGCG
Molecule: ribosomal RNA, 237 nt
Filed under: uncultured bacterium
Lineage: Bacteria
Description: partial 16S ribosomal RNA
Rfam family: Bacterial small subunit ribosomal RNA
Source: RNAcentral